AGUUUUGUUUUGUUUUUUUUAUUUGUGCGAAGGGAAGGUGUUUCGGUAUAAUUGGAGAGCUUUGAUCGACAGAAUCUUUCAAGAUUAUCAGAGAAAGGUUCUGAUGCAUGUAGAUGAAAUUGUGCAGAAUUGUCUGCUUGCGCUGCUGUGGCUGCAACAACUAAGGAGACAACUACUGUACCAACCCACCAUUCAUCUGAUUCAGAAACCAGAGACAGCUGUUAGCUAUUUCACUGCUAGAAUUUCAAUUACUGAAUACUGGUUCACCAUUAAAUAUUUUCUAGAGCCAGAACAAAAAUAAUGGUUGACAUGUGUGUAAAUAUUGCAGUCAGUCUCUGUAGGUUUUUAUGCCAUUUUAGUGUAAUGUAAUAUCUGAC
This is a long non-coding RNA of Neoarius graeffei (lesser salmon catfish), 377 nucleotides long. RefSeq lists it as uncharacterized. The record is from RefSeq and is a predicted model, not a curated record. NCBI's taxonomy places the organism in Eukaryota, Metazoa, Chordata, Actinopteri, Siluriformes, Ariidae. The transcript is spliced from 3 exons.